UGGUGGAGUGGUUUGUCUGGUUAAUUCCGUUAACGAACGAGACCUUAACCUGCUAAAUAGCUACAAAUAGCUACGCGUAGCUUCGGUUACGUGGGCAACUUCUUAGAGGGACGUUGCGUGUCUAACGCAAGGAACUUUGAGGCAAUAACA
RNAcentral lists this ribosomal RNA (150 nucleotides) under uncultured eukaryote. RNAcentral's name for it is "partial 18S ribosomal RNA". It matches the Rfam family "Eukaryotic small subunit ribosomal RNA", at positions 1299 to 1458 of the family's 1831-position model. The record is from RNAcentral.